ACGUUUUUUUCAUAGAGAUUUAGAUUUAAGGUUAGAAAAAAUGUGGAAGUCGUGAGACUUCCCCUUUUUUCAUCUUUAAGGUUUACCCCUUCGCUAUACAAGAGGGAGGCAAACAAGAAAAGCCGCUUCGAGAGAAGGGGCUUUUUU
RNAcentral lists this small RNA (147 nucleotides) under Bacteroides neonati. Its description in RNAcentral is "Bacteroides sRNA BTnc231". It matches the Rfam family "Bacteroides sRNA BTnc231". Rfam says of the family: An uncharacterized small RNA discovered in Bacteroides thetaiotaomicron The record is from RNAcentral. Lineage: Bacteria; Pseudomonadati; Bacteroidota; Bacteroidia; Bacteroidales; Bacteroidaceae.